AGAGUUUGAUCCUGGCUCAGAUUGAACGCUGGCGGCAGGCCUAACACAUGCAAGUCGAGCGGAAACGAGUUAUCUGAACCUUCGGGGAACGAUAACGGCGACGAGUGGCGGACGGGUGAGUAAUGCUUGGGAACUUGCCUUUGCGAGGGGGAUAACGGUUGGAAACGACUGCUAAUACCGCAUGAUGUCUACGGACCAAACGGGGCUUCGGCUCCGGCGCAAAGAGAGGCCCAAGUGAGAUUAGCUAGUUGGUAAGGUAACGGCUUACCAAGGCGACGAUCUCUAGCUGUUCUGAGAGGAAGAUCAGCCACACUGGGACUGAGACACGGCCCAGACUCCUACGGGAGGCAGCAGUGGGGAAUAUUGCACAAUGGGGGAAACCCUGAUGCAGCCAUGCCGCGUGUGUGAAGAAGGCCUUCGGGUUGUAAAGCACUUUCAGUUGUGAGGAAAAGUUAGUAGUUAAUACCUACUAGCCGUGACGUUAACAACAGAAGAAGCACCGGCUAACUCCGUGCCAGCAGCCGCGGUAAUACGGAGGGUGCGAGCGUUAAUCGGAAUUACUGGGCGUAAAGCGCACGCAGGCGGUUUGUUAAGCUAGAUGUGAAAGCCCCGGGCUCAACCUGGGAUGGUCAUUUAGAACUGGCAGACUAGAGUCUUGGAGAGGGGAGUGGAAUUCCAGGUGUAGCGGUGAAAUGCGUAGAUAUCUGGAGGAACAUCAGUGGCGAAAGCGACUCCCUGG
RNAcentral lists this ribosomal RNA (739 nucleotides) under uncultured Alteromonas sp. Its description in RNAcentral is "bacterial SSU rRNA". It matches the Rfam family "Bacterial small subunit ribosomal RNA", at positions 8 to 732 of the family's 1533-position model. Lineage: Bacteria; Pseudomonadati; Pseudomonadota; Gammaproteobacteria; Alteromonadales; Alteromonadaceae. The record is from RNAcentral.